UAGAUACCCUGGUAGUCCAUGCCGUAAACGGUGGGCGCUAGGUGUAGGGGACUUCCACGUCUUCUGUGCCGUAGCUAACGCAUUAAGCGCCCCGCCUGGGGAGUACGGCCGCAAGGCUAAAACUCAAAGGAAUUGACGGGGGCCCGCACAAGCGGCGGAGCAUGUGGAUUAAUUCGAUGCAACGCGAAGAACCUUACCUGGGCUUGACAUAUACAGGAUCGCUGCAGAGAUGUAGUUUCCCUUGUGGUCU
RNAcentral lists this ribosomal RNA (250 nucleotides) under uncultured bacterium. Its description in RNAcentral is "partial 16S ribosomal RNA". It matches the Rfam family "Bacterial small subunit ribosomal RNA", at positions 779 to 1029 of the family's 1533-position model. The record is from RNAcentral.